RNAcentral lists this ribosomal RNA (255 nucleotides) under Clostridioides difficile. RNAcentral's name for it is "partial 16S ribosomal RNA". It matches the Rfam family "Bacterial small subunit ribosomal RNA", at positions 167 to 422 of the family's 1533-position model. The record is from RNAcentral. Lineage: Bacteria; Bacillati; Bacillota; Clostridia; Peptostreptococcales; Peptostreptococcaceae.
UACGGGAUAAUAUAUUUGAGAGGCAUCUCUUGAAUAUCAAAGGUGAGCCAGUACAGGAUGGACCCGCGUCUGAUUAGCUAGUUGGUAAGGUAACGGCUUACCAAGGCGACGAUCAGUAGCCGACCUGCGAGGGUGAUCGGCCACAUUGGAACUGAGACACGGUCCAAACUCCUACGGGAGGCAGCAGUGGGGAAUAUUGCACAAUGGGCGAAAGCCGGAUGCAGCAACGCCGCGUGAGGGAUGAAGGCCUUCGGG